UACGUAGGGUGCGAGCGUUAAUCGGAAUUACUGGGCGUAAAGCGUGCGCAGGCGGUUUUGUAAGCCAGAUGUGAAAUCCCCGGGCUUAACCUGGGAAUGGCAUUUGGGACUGCAAGGCUCGAGUGCGGCAGAGGAGACUGGAAUUCCUGGUGUAGCAGUGAAAUUCGUAGAUAUCGGGAGGAACACCAGUGGCGAAGGCGGCGACCUGGGCCAAUACUGACGCUGAGGUGCGAAAGCGUGGGGAGCAAACAGG
RNAcentral lists this ribosomal RNA (253 nucleotides) under uncultured bacterium. RNAcentral's name for it is "partial 16S ribosomal RNA". It matches the Rfam family "Bacterial small subunit ribosomal RNA", at positions 524 to 776 of the family's 1533-position model. The record is from RNAcentral.